UGUGAAUGGGAAUUCCAAGAAUCUAGUAGUUGCUCAGUCCCACCAGGCUAGUUGCUUCAGCUGGUCUCCUAUAGAAGUAGAUUCCAACAGAUGUGCUGGGGCUGAGAAAUCAAGAUCAAGGCGUGAGCAAGUGCCAUGUCCGGUGAGAGCGACCAUCUUCCAGGAUGGCUCUUCGAAUACUGAGUCCUCAAAUGGUGGAGAAGCAGAAGGGGAGAAAAGAUCAUAUCAUGCAUGAAGCCUCUCUUCUCAGAGCCUCACUACCAUUUAUAAAGAUCCACAUGACUGA
Mus musculus (house mouse) is the source of this 286-nucleotide long non-coding RNA. RefSeq annotates it as predicted gene, 40793. The record is from RefSeq and is a predicted model, not a curated record. The transcript is spliced from 2 exons. NCBI's taxonomy places the organism in Eukaryota, Metazoa, Chordata, Mammalia, Rodentia, Muridae.